AAGASCUUGCACUUUUGGAGCGGCCGAMGUCUGAUUAGCUAGUUGGUGGGGUAAUGGCCUACCAAAGCUUCGAUCAGUAGCUGGUCUGAGAGGACGGCCAGCCACACUGGGACUGAGACACGGCCCAGACUCCUACGGGAGGCAGCAGUGGGGAAUUUUGGACAAUGGGCGCAAGCCUGAUCCAGCCAUGCCGCGUGAGUGAAGAAGGCCUUCGGGUUGUGAAGCUCUUUCAGCCGGGAAGAAAAGGUUGCGACUAAUAAUCGCAAUUCAUGACGGUACCGAAAGAAGAAGCACCGGCUAACUACGUGCCAGCAGCCGCGGUAAUACGUAGGGUGCGAGCGUUAAUCGGAAUUACUGGGCGUAAAGGGUGCGCAGGCGGUUUUGUAAGUCAGAUGUGAAAUCCCCGGGCUUAACCUGGGAACU
This 423-nucleotide ribosomal RNA is filed under the name uncultured bacterium. RNAcentral's name for it is "bacterial SSU rRNA". It matches the Rfam family "Bacterial small subunit ribosomal RNA", at positions 202 to 622 of the family's 1533-position model. The record is from RNAcentral.